UGGCUCAGUUCAGAUCGUAGGCUGCAACUCGCCUACGUGAAGGAGGAAUCGCUAGUAAUCGCAGGUCAGCAUACUGCGGUGAAUACGUUCCCGGGCCUUGUACACACCGCCCGUCACACCAUGGAAGUUGGCCACGCCCGAAGCCGUUACUCCAACCCUUGUGGAGGAGGACGUCGAAGGUGGGGCUGAUGACUGGGGUGAAGUCGUAACAAGGUAUCCGUACCGGAAGGUGCGGAUGGAUCACCUCCUAA
Molecule: ribosomal RNA, 251 nt
Filed under: uncultured Synechococcus sp.
Lineage: Bacteria; Bacillati; Cyanobacteriota; Cyanophyceae; Synechococcales; Synechococcaceae
Description: partial 16S ribosomal RNA
Rfam family: Bacterial small subunit ribosomal RNA
Source: RNAcentral